Populus nigra (black poplar) is the source of this 5658-nucleotide long non-coding RNA. RefSeq lists it as uncharacterized. The record is from RefSeq and is a predicted model, not a curated record. NCBI's taxonomy places the organism in Eukaryota, Viridiplantae, Streptophyta, Magnoliopsida, Malpighiales, Salicaceae. The transcript is spliced from 8 exons.
UGUAACUUAAAUUAUUUGACCGACAUGUUCUUGAGGUAAGAACAUGUUUAUGAUGCCUUAUACAUGAUCCUUGUACAUGUUUAUGAUGCCUUAUACAUGAUGAUCCUUCUACAUGUUUAUGAUGCCUUAACAAGUUACUAAUGAUCAGGUGAUUAAGUAAGGAAGAAAGUCGUUAUGACGGGGGGGCUUUUAUGAUUAUCGAUGCUCAAAGUUGAAGUUUAUGAACAUAAUUAUGUAGAACAAAUCACAUUGAGGUAAGAAAUCUCAUGAAUGUGCAGUUUCCAUCACAGACUAAAAUGAGAAAACAGAGCUAGAGACUAAUUUCACAACUAAUCUGAAAUAACAAAAACAAAAUUUGGAAGCCCUAAUAUCCUUUGCUAAAUCUGAGAUGUUACAUGGUUCUUAAUUGUAGGGGCAGGAACUAAAUGAUGCUAACUCAUUGGCUGAAGUCAUAACACUAACUCUAAAGUGUGCUUUGAGUUGUUUCUAGAAACUUGAUUUUAAUUUUGCACUAUAAAAAUAUUUUUUUGACUAGCUGUUCUUCCAGGUGUUUCUGACAGGAUGGAUAGACUCAAUGGCUGAAGUCACAACACAACUCUGAACUGUGAAUAUGCUUUAUUGUUUCUUUAUGUGAUAAAUGACUAGUCUAAGCUUCAGUUUUUUGUUCUUGCCUUUUAAUGUAUUAUUAAACUAUUAUGGCUUGUAAUCAAUGUUUUAAAUUAAUUUAUUCUGCCUGAUUUUCCAGCCGUUAUCCUUGCUGAAAUCCUAGAAGAUGAUGUUUUGGUCUUCCCCCACAUGUUCAGUACUUAUUGAGAUAGGUCAUGUUUACAUGGUUCCACUUAAGCAUUCAUCUUUUCAAAAGUAACAUGCUCUGUUUUAUUGGAACUUAUAGGUAUAAGAGGAGUUUGAAAGAGUUGCAUAAAAUGCUUCAUUGGUGCAAUGAGCAUUUCAACAGUUCAGCCAUGUAAACAAGGAGGCACUAGAUCAACAUGUAAAUCUCACUAGGAAACAGGAGGAACUUCAGACACGGCAAGCUGAACUUGAGGCAAGUGACAAGGUACCACGGUACUGGAUUUUAAUGGUUAAAUGUCUUCUGUUGUACUUAUUGUUUUUAAUGUGAGAUUAUGAUUUAUGUAUCUUUACUUCAACGACAAACAUAAGCCAUAAAAAAAUAGACUGAGCUUGAGCCUGAUGUGAAAGACGUGCUAGAGAGAAUUUCAGAACAUAUCCAAGCCAAGGAUGAUGCUAUGAUUUAACGUGUGCUAUGCUAAAAUGUAAGGUAUCUCCUCAACUAAACUUUUCCACAUAUUACUACCUAAGGUAUCUCCUCACUUUAGGUUUUUGUCCUCUACUAUCAAUAAACUAAUUUAUUCAGCUAACAUGGUCGGUAAUAAUAAAACACAGUCUAGUAGAUGGAGAAUUUGCAAAUAAGUAAUUAAAACAUCAUUAUUUAAGAAUUAUUUGUGUAUUUUGUUACUUAAAUUAAUAUGUUAGGGGAUUUUAUACCUUCUUUGAUUUGACCUAGUGGAGGAUUUGGGGGACCUGAAUAGACACACAUAGUCGAGUGAAAUUUGAUUUUUUGCAAUUUGUACAGGUUUCCUUACUCUUGUGGAUAUGAACUCUUCUACUUUCGUUGUAGAUUCAAGGAAGCUUUUGUGGAUUUCUAAGUUUUCUUUCCUUCACUUGUUGUUGGGUGAUUUUUCGUUUUAGUCCAAGGAACCGGAACCAUCUUGUUAUGAGAAAUAAUUGAUUUUUCUUUUCCACAUUAACUGGGCACUUCGAUGAUAAGUUUUUUACCUUUUCCAGAUGUUGUACUGGCUACAAAUGUUCGGGAUUUAUUCAAGGUCUAUAGCAGUAAUUAGUAGAUGCCCACCAUUAUACUAAAAACAAGACCCCUUUGAAAAUUUCUAGUUUUAUGAUGAGCUGUCUUCAAGGUUUAUGUGUAAAUGUAUGGAUUAAUUGAAAUUAGAUAAGUAUGUUUUGUUACUUGGUAUGAGUAUGCAAUUGAACUUCUUAAUUCUGUUGUUGCAAGUCCUCAUGCUUCUCUUGCCAUUUCCUUUAUAUUCUGAUUUUUUGAUGUUAAAGAAGUCAUCUACUUCAGGAAGAAAAUUAUAGGCUGAAUGCAGACUUCAAAGAGCGAAAUGCCUACGUUGAGAGCUGCAGAGCUGAAAUCGUUAUUUUCUAGUCUCAUGAAGGAUUCAAUAGUCAUAAAGCAUAGAGAAACAAGCUACAGGAAGCAUAUCAUGGUGAAAAAGGAAAGUGAACUUAUUGUUGAAUUUGAUAAGCUAAGACCACAAGUGUUCUUAUUCCUCUGCCGUUGGGUCCUAUUUAUAGGAAAAAUCUCUUGUAGAUGUCACUAAUCAAAUAGUGAGCUUAAAGCCACUGUGACCACGAAACAAGGUGAGGCGGGCACAGAGCUCAUUGAUCACUUGACACCAUAGGAAAAACAUGAACUAUCCCAGCUGAACUAAGAAAUAAAAGAUCUUAAAGAGGAGCUUAUUAAAUUUAGAACAGAUCGCAUCGAGGUAAGAUAUCUCAACCUUGUUGAGAAGCAACUGUACUUAUCCUUAACAGGUAUUUGUUCUGUUUCACAUGAAGCUUUUGUGGCCUUCCAAGCUACUUCCAUAUUUAUGAUCUGCUUUCUGAUAGGCCUCUUGCUUGCUGUCAUGCAUGCCUAUAUGCUAAUGGGUGUAUGGUAAUACAUUGCCCCAAAAGUUUCUGUAUAUUUAUGGCUAACUGAGGUGGGUGACUUUUUGGAAGAAAAUAGUUUAUUAUCGUUUAUUAUUGCCACCUGUUGCACUAGAGGUGAUAGACUGAUGUUGCACUGAUGUGUCUUGGCCUCAAACCCUAGAAAAAUAAUAUUACUUGUCACUGAAAAAUGAGUAAAUAAAAAGAAACGAAUUAUUCCUCAUGCUUUUACAAUGUCUAUCUGCUAUUUGUGAUUUAUUAAGAUACAUUUUGAGUAUUAACAUUAGUUUUUGUUACUAUGAAGGCAAAGGUGAUGGUACAAAUGCAGAAUCUGGAGCACAAGAAGAAGAUUUUCUCAUCCAGGAUGAGAUUUCUAAAUCUCGUCUAGUGAGCGUCUAGCGUGAGGAAGAGACAAUUUUGCAUGAGAGAGACGGCUAUGAACUGGAAGAGGGACGUCUUAUACGUGAAUUGAAAAGGAUACGAGAUGAGGAUGAUUCAAGUUUUAAUAAUUUUCAGAUUUUAAAUCAUCAAUAUGCCCUUUUAAACCUUCUUGGGCAAGGAGGAUUUAGUGAGGUUUACAAGGUCCGAACUUCGGCAAGUAGUUUCAAUUGAUAAUAGAAAGUAGUUUCAUUUGAUAAUAGAAACACUAACCUUUGCUUGUUUGAUGAAAAUUCUUAUAUACCAUGACAAGAGUAUAGAUCAUUCUGUUGCCAAUAUUGGCAAUUGUAAAAGCACAUCCUUUUGCAGUGAUUUGAAGUGAGAAAUUUCCGGCAGGCUUAUGAUUUGGUCGAGCAUAGGAAGGUGCAGGGCAUCAUGUUUUAUCUGUUUUUGUUGAGAUUGUGUUGAUAAUUCCGACAAUCACAUCCCGGAAAACUGAAGUUAUGAAUUUAUUGGAAAGUGGUGGGUUCUCUUGCUCCAAUCUAUACUAUGUAGAGUAGUAAGGAAAGGUUUGAUUCUUUGAACCUUUUGUUAUUGCUUAAUUUUCCCAAAAAUUAUGUAUAUUAUUUUCCUAGUGAUUUUAAAAUUUCUUUUGUUUCCCGUUACAAUGAUAGCAUCAUUGACAGUGAUGAAAGACUUUGAGUGUCUUGAUUUAUUGAAAGAUGUUAGUGGCACUCAAGUGUAUGAAGAGAGAUGCCAUGAAAGAAUAUUUGAUUUCUUGAACCUUUUGUUAGUGCUUAAUUUUGCUAAAAAUUAUGUAUAUUCUUUUCCUAUUGAUUUUUAAAUUUCGUGUUUCUUGUGACACUUAAUAGAUAGCAUCAUUGACAUUGUUGACAGACUCCGAGUGUCUUGAAUGUGGGAUGCCAUGAAAGUUUGAAAAUUAUUUCGGAAACAUGCAAGGAAGGGAUAGUUGAGGUGGGUUUUCUUCUGUUGAUGGUUUUUCAGGUUGUAUAAUUUUAUUUUCUCUGUUAAACAGGGAUCAAUAGAAAACAAAUAAUUCAAGUAGUUCAGUACUUGGAUGAGAGGCUGAAGGACCGGUAUGAAGAGAAAAGGGAGCUGAGAAAAUAUCAGCAGCUUGACAAGCAGUGAAAAUCUCUAGAAUAUACUAUUUAUGAUAAGGAACUCCAAUGAGCUCAACAUAUAUUAUUGGAGGUGAAGGAGGCUCGAAGCAAGGUCUCUGAGAAAUUGGCUAAGAUGCAUGAUGAGGUGUUGAAUGCCCAUGAGGAAUCUAAGGACUUGGAGAAGGUGCUCAAAGAUCUUACAAAAGAAGUUCAAGCAUUGAACAUAGAGAAAGAGGUAGCAGAGAAACGAGAAACAGGAAGCGAUAAAAAAAGCAGAAAGAGCUUGAGCUUGAUAUGAAAGACCUGCAAGAGUCCCUAGAGUUAUAAUGGAGCGUGAAAAGCAGCUUAGCAUCCUUUAUCAAAAAACAAGGUCGGGCAACCCAUUUUCCAGCAAAGCUACUCGUGAACAAAGGCUGCAAAAGCAAAAUGGUGAUUUACAAUGUCUUUUUUCUUCAAAUUUGGCUCAGGCAAGAGUUCAAAUUAGUCUAUUAUGAUACUUUAACAUCAAUGCAGAUGUAUGCUAGUGUUGUCAGAAUCUUCCAAUAGGUGGCACUUUCUUAUCUUAUGCUCAUCAUUUAAUUUGGAAAGGACUAGGCCCUCAUAUCUGAUAAUUCCCUGAUCAAAACACAAUGUUAAGGGUUUUCUUUUUUAUUUUCUUUUUUGAAUUGUUUAGGUAGUUUUAGUAAAUUGGACUUAACAGGAGCUAUAUCUAAAGAAAUGAUUAACCUCUCUGGCAUAUUAUUUGUUCAAUUUCUUCAUUUUGUUUCCAUUCCUUGGAUUGCAGGCAACUUGUGUUUUUUUGCCUUUUCUUUUCUUUAUAGUUAUGCAAAUUUCAAGAGGUUACUCCUUAUUGAAUACUAUAGGGGUGUGCCUUAGAAUAGGAUGUUACUCUUUAGUAUAUUUAGGUGUGAAAAGGACAAUGUCAACACACUUCUUGAAUGCUAUAGGGGUUUAGCUUAGAAUAAGCUAAAAUGUAAGGCAUCUCCUCAAGUAAAAGUUUCUACAUGUUACUACCUAAUUUAUGAUUUCAGCUGAAAAUUCCUCUCACAAUAAACUAAUUAAUACAGCUGACAUUGCAGAUAAUAAUAAAACAUGGUCUAUAGAACACAAUUAUUUAAGAAUUAUUUGGGCAUCUUAUUUCCUGCUUUGGUUUGGCCUAGUGUAGGAUUUGAGGGACCUGUAUAGGCACCCAUUUUUUCAAGUCUUAAUGCUAGAUGCUUGUUGAGUGAAAUUUGAGUUUUUGCAAUUUUGCAUGUUUCCUUACUCUUGUGGAUAACAACACUUCUACUUUCUUGUAGAUUCAGGGAAGCUACUUGUGGAUUUCUUGGUUUUUUUCUUUCCUUAAUUUGUUGUUGGGUGAUUGUUUUCAAUUUCACAUGUUUCCUUGCUCCUGCGGAUAUCAACACUUCUACUUUCCUUGUCGAUGUAAGGAAGCUUCUUGUGGAUUUCUACGUUUAUUUUGUUCUUCACU